CCAAAACAUAUCUCCUUGGUUCCACAUCUUUAUUCUUUUGUUGGCCCAUUCUUUAUGGGCCUUUUUGUUCAGACUUCCCAAGCAGCUGUGUUAUAAAAGAGGGAAAGAAAAGAAUCUCAAACAUUUUAGUCUCUUCUUCCCACGUAGUCUCUUACCAGAUGGAUGAUGUCUUACAGGUGCUGCAGGCCCUGACAAAGUAUACCUGUGCUCUCAAGUCAAAUAAUCAAGUAUCUACUAAGUUUGGGACACUAUGUUAGGAAUUACAGUGGCCAUGAGGGAACAAGGUUGAGAACUAUAGUUAAUAUAUGGCAACGGUUCUCAAUCUUCAAAAUCAAAAUCAAUUGGAGGGCUUUCCUUUUUAUUUACUUUUAAUUGGAGGAUAAUUAUCCUCGUGUUAGGUUCUGCCAUGCUGCUGCUGUUCAGUCGAGUCUUGACUCUCUUGUGACCCCAGUCCAUGGCUCUGUGACCCUGCCAGGCUCUUCUGUCCAUGGAAUCUUUCAAGCAAGAAUACUGGAGUGAGUUGCCACUUCCUUCUUCAGGGAUCUUCCUGACCCAGGGUAUCUCCUGCAUUAACAAGUGGAUUCUUCACCACUGUGCCACCUGGGGAGCCAUACAUCAACAAUAAUCAGCCAUAAAUAUACAUAUGUCCCCUCCCUCUCAACCUCUUGGAGGGCUUAUUAAAACAAAGAUUGUAGAGCACCUCACCCCUAAGCUUCUGAUUCAGUAAGUAGUAACAAAUUCAUCGCCAAAAGCAUGCUAACAACAGUUUGCAAACUUUGACUUACAAUUUACAUCUCAGAUGCCAGCAUCAGAAAAGGCAUAACGGGCUACUGUUGCUGAAAGAAAAAAAGUGAAGUUGCUCAGUCGUGUCCCAUUCUUUGCAACCCCAUGGACUGAAGCCUGCCAAGCUCCUCCAUCCAUGGAAUUUUCCAGGCAAGGAUACUGGAGUGGAUUGCCAUUUCCUUCUCCAGGAGAUCUUCUUGACCCAGAGAUCAAACCUAGGUCUCCUGCAC
Long non-coding RNA from Bos taurus (domestic cattle), 1013 nucleotides. Lineage: Eukaryota; Metazoa; Chordata; Mammalia; Artiodactyla; Bovidae. The record is from Ensembl.